Vespa crabro (European hornet) is the source of this 3692-nucleotide long non-coding RNA. RefSeq lists it as uncharacterized. Lineage: Eukaryota; Metazoa; Arthropoda; Insecta; Hymenoptera; Vespidae. The transcript is spliced from 2 exons. The record is from RefSeq and is a predicted model, not a curated record.
CAAAAAGAAGAAAGAAAUAUUUGAUAAGUCACAAGCGAUGUAUUUUAUAAUAAUAAUAAUAAUAAUAAUAAUAAUAAUAAUAAUAAUAUAUAUAUAUACGUAUAUAUAUAUAAAUAGAAGAAACCCAGCGAUACUCGAUUUUGAAUUUAACUCCUCGUACAAUAAGAGUUUAAAUUAGAUACAAUCCGUUUGAGAAUUAAUUGGAUUGUGAUUACUGUGAUUCUCUGGAAGAAAUUUGUAGGAUUGAACUUAAUUAAAAAGAUCAUGCUCCACGUGUUACGAGGAUCGAGGCAAAUCUUGGCGUAGAAAAUGCAAGUUACGUAAUCUUCCAUCCUUUUACUUCGCGCCGGCUAUAUUUUAGCCUGAUGGUCGCGCGCGCACGCUUUGCCAUUAGUCCCUUCAAUAAGAAGAAAACAAAGUCAACGGCGACGAAGGAACGGUUCACGGUAGAGCAUCAGGCCAAUGCCUUCUAGAGAUCGUCGGCGCGUGCAAGGCCAUCCAAUGAGCAACUAGCUUCCCCAUAUCGAGGACGAUUAACUCGCAUUCUUUUCGAACCUCACCAUUCACGAGAAAGAGAUCACUGAUCAUCCUCCGUUCUUUUAUUCUUUCUUUUGUCGGACGGAACCGAUCGUUAGAAAUUAACGUUCUGCAAACUGACCGUGACUGUUUCUAACUCUUCCUGCUUCGUUUGAAAUUCUUGGACCACGAAAAGAGAGAGAGAAAAAAAAUGAAGAAAAGAAAAGAGAGAGAAAACGACAAAGAAGAAGAAAUCAAAUACAAGUAACAAAACGACAAAGUGAAUCGAUCAAGCGCGAUUUUAAUUUGUUCUUUUUAUAUAAGAAUAAACAAAAAAACAAGAAAAAAAAGAAACAUAAGAAGAUUAAUUUAUUUGGAUCGAUCGAAGAAAAUUGUCGUUCGAGAGAAAAUAAAUGAAUAGGAGAUAUCAGAUCGAUGGUGGAUUAUCUACUGUGUCGAAAGUAGUAACAUUACGUUAUCGUCGGAAGAAAGAGCUGAAACGUAGAAAACAGAAGUAGGUAUAGGGUUGGCUCGCACGCUAGAACGCUGUAAAACGUGGGCCCUCGAAAGUCGUUACGACCACCACAUGCAACGCAUAAAUAAUCGUGGGCGUGAAAGGCGUGUGCGUGUACGCGUUCAUUAUACGUCGUGCGAACACGGCAGGUUGCGCUCAAGACUAUUAUAGUACAACUUCGAUAAGAAAUAGUACGUCACGCUUUCUAUCUUUCUCUCCUAAAAGAGAGAAAUAUUCCUUCGAAAUUUCAAUCCUGUAGGCUAUCUCGAUAUUAUCAAACACGUAAUGCAAACGAAGAAUGGCAGCCCCAAAAAUAGUUAAGAACGAAUAGAAUCGUAGAUGUUAUGGAACGGUAACACGUUCUCUAAACUUUUUCUUUUUUUUCUUUUUUAUAAAUAAUAAACUGAUAUCAAAUAAUUAAGUCGAAUUCUUUCUUCUGAUUUUGCGCUAUCGCUAAAAAAUUAUAGGUCACACUGGUAUUAAUGGUAAAAUAUUAAAAUCGUUUGCGUGUAGAUCAAUUGUCGUUCGAUAAGAAACUGGAUCAAAAGAAGAAAAAUCAGCGUGUACGUGGUAGUUGGUGAGAUGCGAGCGCGUGUACUUACACGCGGAACCGCGCGUUCUCUGGCUUUUCGGCGGAUAGCACCUAAAAAUAGAAGCCGGGCAUCCUAGAAAAAGUAAACGGGGCCGCGGUGGCGGGCCUCGGUUUCGUGCAGCUGACUAUGAAAUUCACAAAGGAUCCAACCGGGGGAACAAAGAGCGGGAUCCGUGAAGACGAGCGCGUGAAACAGAGAGAGAGAGAGAGAGAGAGAGAGAGAGAGGGAGAGAGAGCGGGAGAGAGAGAGAGUGCCUGAGACAAAGGCACAAGAAAGAAAGAGACAGAGAACGUGUGCGUUUGUAUGUGUUCAUAUGUACGUUUUCACGGGAUGAGAAAAAGAAAGGACAGAUAUAGUGCUGCGGGGUAGAUACGCCCCUGAGAAACAUGCAGAAACGCAAAACGGUGCCGAAAGGCUCAGGAAACGAAAAUGAUCGCUUCCGAGAAAGGCUCCGCCAUCUGCUCUGCCUAGAAAUCGCUCGAUUUCGAGACAUUCGCCCAUCGAUCAUUAUCGUGAUAUCAUCAUAGAUUUAUUUAACUUUUCCAGAUAUAGAAAAACUUUGAUCGGGGAAUAAUUUGUAAUUUCGAAUCGAAUGAUCUUGCUCGAAUUUCAUUGUUUUUCAUUCUUUCAAAUUAUUCGAAUGAUAUUAUAAAUUAUACGAGAACAAUCUAUAGAUCGGCGAUGCGAGAUACGGUGAAAGAAAAAAAAAAAAGAAAAAGAGGGAAAAAAGCAUUCGCAAUUCUUACUUUUCGAUUCUCUCUCAGCGGAAUCGUGCGUGUUUGACCGAAGGGAUCGAAGGAAAGCCCGAGAGUCUGGAUACGAUGAAGUAGUCGAGAGGGGAGAAAAUGGAAAGGUUAAGUUACGAAACGCAGCAACUUCCAAGGUCUCUCCCACUCCAAUUGGAUUAUAACUACGACGACGAUCUGACCCUUUUUCCCUUUUCAAACUGAAUAGAUAGAAUAACGUAAAGACGAAGCACCGACGUAUAAAGAGAAAUCCCACUACAUUUUUACAUUUUUACAAAGAUAUUCUUGUAUACAAGGGUAUCUUAAUUAACUCGUACAAUUAUCGUAGAAAUUUAACGAUACUGUAUUCGAACGUCUUACAAUGGAGCUCUUCAAUUCUUAUCUGAGUAUCUUGAUAAUACGAAGAGUAAAAGAGCUAUGUUGUUAUCAGUGACAUUGGAUUUAUUGUCCAACAGUCAAUCUGAAAUAACCAUUCAAAGGAAAUACGUUUCCGACCUAUUUUCUCAAAAUGAUAGAAGUUAGUAGAGUAGCCUUGAUCAAACGCAACGGACGUGUUUUUCCCGUGGAAACGAAAUGUAUAAAAGUGGUAGAAGCAGAAGAAGAAAAAGAAGGAGAUAAAGACGAAGAUGAAGACGAAGGAGAUAAAGACGAAGAUGAAGACGAAGACGAAAAGGAGAAAGAGGGGAAGAGAAAUAGAGGACUCGCGAGUGCCUGAUCGUGGAUCGAGAGACCUUGACACAUUUUGUUCGGUGGCGCCAAAUUGGUCGUCGAGCAGGCGGCCUAUCAUAAGAAAUAAGAAAGAGUCGAAAGGGAAGAGAUGCGAGAGGACGUCAGGUACAUGGAAAACAACGUAGUUAAGGGAGGACUAGAAGGAAAGAGAGGAAGGGGUGGAUAGAGAGAGAGAGAGAGAGAGAGAGAGAGAGAGAGAGAGAGAGAGAGAGAGAGGAAAAAGAGGCAAAGGACGAGAGAGAGGAAAAUCAAUGUCAGGCAGCGUGUGCGUUGCAGCCCAAAAUCAAGGGAGAGCCCUAGGCCCUCCCCCUCUUAUUCGAAGUGUACUACGGAGUGAGAGGAGAAGAGCCCUGGUCGAUUCGCGGCUGCAAGGGAUGCCAACCCUCUUUCACCGAGCAAAGGAGGAGAGACCAUCAGGGGAAACCAUAACCUGCACAACGGUCCACUUUCGAAACUUCUCCACGAUUCAAGAUGUCCGUUGAGAAUCCUUUCUGGAGCCGAUGUAAUAUAUACGUGAGAUUAUAACAAUUCUUAAAAUGAUAAAUCUAAUUGUCAAUGUUUUAUAAUAAUAACGAAACAAAUAGAUUUAACGAA